GCCAGGCACGGUAGCGCAGGCCUGUAAUCCAAGUGGCUUGAGAGGCUGAGGUAGGAGGAUCACGAGUUCAAAGCCAGUAUCAUCAAAAGUGAGGCACUAAGCAACUCAGUGAGACCCUGUCUCUA
This 125-nucleotide small RNA is filed under the name Marmota monax (woodchuck). Lineage: Eukaryota; Metazoa; Chordata; Mammalia; Rodentia; Sciuridae. The record is from RNAcentral.